Molecule: ribosomal RNA, 1464 nt
Filed under: uncultured Bacillus sp.
Lineage: Bacteria; Bacillati; Bacillota; Bacilli; Caryophanales; Bacillaceae
Description: bacterial SSU rRNA
Rfam family: Bacterial small subunit ribosomal RNA
Source: RNAcentral
CGUACUGGCCUAUACAUGCUAGUCGAGCGAAUGGAUUAAGAGCUUGCCUCUUAUGAAGUUAGCGGCGGACGGGUGAGUAACACGUGGGUAACCUGCCCAUAAGACUGGGAUAACUCCGGAUAAACCGGGGCUAAUACCGGAUAACAUUAUUGAACUGCAUGGUUCGACAUUGAUAGGCGGCUUCGGCUGUCACUUAUGGAUGGACCCGCGUCGCAUUAGCUAGUUGGUGAGGUAACGGCUCACCAAGGCAACGAUGCGUAGCCGACCUGAGAGGGUGAUCGGCCACACUGGGACUGAGACACGGCCCAGACUCCUACGGCGAGGCAGCAGUAGGGAAUCUUCCGCAAUGGACGAAAGUCUGACGGAGCAACGCCGCGUGAGUGAUGAAGGCUUUCGUGGUCGUAAAACUCUGUUGUUAGCGGAAGAACAAGUGCUAGUUGAAUAAGCUGGCACCUUGACGGUACCUAACCAGAAAGCCACGGCUAACUACGUGCCAGCAGCCGCGGUAAUACGUAGGUGGCAAGCGUUAUCCGGAAUUAUUGGUCGUAAAGCGCGCGCAGGUGGUUUCUUAAGUCUGAUGUGAAAGCCCACGGCUCAACCGUGGAGGUACAUUGGAAACUGGGAGACUUGAGUGCAGAAGAGGACAGUGGAAUUCCAUGUGUAGCGGUGAAAUGCGUAGAGAUAUGGAGGAACACCAGUGGCGAAGGCGACUUUCUGGUCUGUAACUGACACUGAUGCGCGAAAGCGUGGAUAGCAAACAGAAUUAGAUACCCUGGUAGUCCACGCCGUAAGUGAUGAGUGCUAAGUGUUAGAGGGUUUCCGCCCUUUAGUGCUGAAGUUAACGCAUUAAGCACUCCGCCUGGCGAGUACGGCCGCAAUACUGAAACUCAAAGGAAUUGACGGGGGCCCGCACAAGCGGUGGAGCAUGUGGUUGCAUUCGAAGCAACGCGAAGAACCUUACCAGGUCUUGACAUCCUCUGAAAACCCUAGAGAUAGUCCUUCUCCUUCGGGAGCAGAGAGACAGGUGGUGCAUGGUUGUCGUCAGCUCGAUGUCGUGAGAUGUUGGGUUAAGUCCCGCAACGAGCGCAACCCUUGAUCUUAGUUGCCAUCAUUAAGUUGGUGCACUCUAAGGUGACUGCCGGUGACAACUCGGAGGACAGGUGGGGAUGACGUCAAAUCAUCAUGCCCCUUAUUACCUGGGCUACACACGUGCUACAAUGGACGGUACAAAGAGCUGCAAGACCGCGAGGUGGAGCUAAUCUCAUAAAACCGUUCUCAGUUCGGAUUGUAGGCUGCAACUCGCCUACAUGAAGCUGGAAUCGCUAGUAAUCGCGGAUCAGCAUGCCGCGGUGAAUACGUUCCCGGGCCUUGUACACACCGCCCGUCACACCACGAGCUCUUGUAACACCCGAAGUCGGUGGGGUAACCUUGUUUGGAGCCAGCCGCCUAAGGUGGUAAGCAGUA